AACGAACGCUGGCGGCAGGCCUAACACAUGCAAGUCGAGCGAGGACUCCGGUUCUAGCGGCGGACGGGUGAGUAACGCGUGGGAAUGUGCCCUUCUCUACGGAAUAGCCCUGGGAAACUGGGAGUAAUACCGUAUACGCCCUAUUGGGGAAAGAUUUAUCGGAGAAGGAUCAGCCCGCGUUGGAUUAGGUAGUUGGUGGGGUAAUGGCCUACCAAGCCGACGAUCCAUAGCUGGUUUGAGAGGAUGAUCAGCCACACUGGAACUAAGACACGGCCCAGACUCCUACGGGAGGCAGCAGUGGUGAAUCUUAGACAAUGGGGGCAGCGCUGAACUAGCCAUGCCGCGUGAGUGAUGAAGGCCUUAGGGUUGUAAAGCUCUUUCAGCUGGGAAGAUAAUGACGGUACCAGCAGAAGAAGCCCCGGCUAACUCCGUG
Molecule: ribosomal RNA, 433 nt
Filed under: uncultured bacterium
Lineage: Bacteria
Description: partial 16S ribosomal RNA
Rfam family: Bacterial small subunit ribosomal RNA
Source: RNAcentral